GCAGACUCACUCUGCACCCGGCCGUGGCCCCGGGCGGGUGCUUUUUCCGUCUGCCAUAGGAAUGUCCAGGGUGCUGUGACCACUUUGACCUGUCAAGGGCAAUGCAGCCACCCUGGUACAUGGGU
Camelus dromedarius (Arabian camel) is the source of this 125-nucleotide small nucleolar RNA. Lineage: Eukaryota; Metazoa; Chordata; Mammalia; Artiodactyla; Camelidae. The record is from Ensembl.